AUGCAAGCCGAACGGCAAGCUUUGUAGCAAUACAGAGCCUAGAGUGGCGUAAGGGUGCGUAACACGUAUGCAAUCUGCCCACAACAGGAGGAUAGCUCCCCGAAAGGGGAAUUAACCCUCCAUAGCACUAUACGAGGGCAUCUGAGUAUGGUUAAACCAAAAGGGGUUGUGGAUGAGCAUGCGGUUGAUUAGCUAGUUGGCGGGGUAACGGCCCACCAAGGCGAUGAUCAAUAGGGGAACUGAGAGGUUUAUCCCCCACACUGGCACUGAGAUACGGGCCAGACUCCUACGGGAGGCAGCAGUAGGGAAUAUUGGACAAUGGGCGAGAGCCUGAUCCAGCCAUGCCGCGUGCAGGAAGAAGGCCUUCUGGGUUGUAAACUGCUUUUGCCAGGGGAUAAAAGACCCGUGCGCGGGGAAUUGAAGGUACCUGGUGAAUAAGCCACGGCUAACUACGUGCCAGCAGCCGCGGUAAUACGUAGGUGGCAAGCGUUGUCCGGAUUUAUUGGGUUUAAAGGGUGCGUAGGCGGUUCUAUAAGUCAGUGGUGAAAUACGGCAGCUCAACUGUCGAGGUGCCAUUGAUACUGCAGAACUUGAGUACAGACGAGGUAGGCGGAAUUGACGGUGUAGCGGUGAAAUGCUUAGAUAUCGUCA
This 651-nucleotide ribosomal RNA is filed under the name uncultured soil bacterium. RNAcentral describes it as "bacterial SSU rRNA". It matches the Rfam family "Bacterial small subunit ribosomal RNA", at positions 55 to 702 of the family's 1533-position model. The record is from RNAcentral.